This 1099-nucleotide long non-coding RNA is filed under the name Pan troglodytes (chimpanzee). RNAcentral's name for it is "lincRNA". The record is from RNAcentral. Lineage: Eukaryota; Metazoa; Chordata; Mammalia; Primates; Hominidae.
GAGGGGCCUUCCGGCAACUUUUUGGUUGGUGCCGCCCCGCCCAGGCCCCUUUUAAACUUGAUCUCCGCGGUGCCCUCCCCUUUCGGCCGCGGCGCGUGACUGGGCUUGGUGGAGUUUCAAGAUGCUGAUGAACUUAAGGUCUGGUGCUUGAAAGAAUCAGUGAAGCUUUUCAAGUAGAGGAGUGGUGUUUCCAGUGAAAUCUAUGGCAAGAUGGUUUGGGGUCACUAUCUGCAUGAACUGCCAAGUUGGAAAAUCAAAAAUACAUCAAAAUCAUUCUUGGGACAUAAGUCACGGAAGUGACUCAUGCACACAAUAAAUACCCAAGAAGCAGGACCAGAGGGCAGUUGUGUAUUGGCACGCUCAUCAGUGCUGCAAAAAUUCCCCUUCUGGAUGGCAACAACAAUGCUGUAUCCACAGCAGCAUUUUAAAUCCCACCUCUGAUGUAUCCAUUGUAGUGGGCAUGAGAUGGCAGAAAGUGGGAUAUGGAAAAUGUUGCCAUGUGCCAUUCCGAAUACUACUGUGGCUUCCCUGCAGCAUUGCUUUCCAUAUUGGCUGUUUUCCAUUUCAGGAAAGCUUAGGAUGUCCUUGGUAAAUACUGGCUAACCAAGAAAUUUGAAAAAUGAAAGGAGGCUGAGUAAUUGGUCUUCGGUUGAAACGGGGUGAUGCUGCAUAAACUACAUGGUUGACUCUGAAAAGCUGGCUAAAAAGCCAGUCUGCAUUCCUUGUCCUCAUUUCCUUGGAGUAAUGAAGGGUGCUUCUUAGAAGAGGGAUAGAUUCAAGUAUGGGUUGUGAGUCAUUCUUCUUUUCUGUAUGUAAUAGGUCUAACCACAGGGCCUGUUGAGCCCUGCCCUGGUGACCAAGAGCAUUUUCUGACAUGAACAGAGUUAGGCCAUCUUGCCCAUAUGAGCAGAGUUCUUCAGAUGUCCCUUAGGAUUCUAGGUUUGAUACCUUCCCUGCCACUCCCCCACUACCAAAUCCCCUUACCCUAUAGCCUAGCAAUGCAGAGUUGUCCAAUAUAGAACCUCUGUUAAACAUAGCAUCACCCAGGAAAAUGGGAUGAGUGGUUGCAGUCAGUACCACAGUUCUGCAGAAUCAACUU